GUGUGCUCCGGCUGGGUGCAGCAGCAGCACAUCCUGCACCACCGGAGCGUGGGGUGCUACGUCACCCACGUCGGGUUCAGCUCCGUCGUGGAGGGGCUCGUCGCCGGCUGCCGCCUCGUGCUGCUGCCCAUGAAGGGCGACCAGUACCUUAACGCGGCGCUGUUCGCGCGCGAGCUCCGCGUGGGCGUCGAGGUGGCGCGCCGCGACGAGGACGGCUGGUUCGGGCGGCAGGACGUGUGCGACGCUGUCGCGGCGGCGGUGGCGGACGGAGGGGAAGGGGAGGCGAGGAAGUGGGCCGACUUCUUGACCGACGACGGCGUGCAGGGAAGGUUCGCCGACGAGUUCGUCCGGCAGCUCAGGGAGCUCGUCAGUGCGGCCUCGAGUUGAUUGAGCGCUCGACGCCUCGACCUUGUGUUAAAUGUACGCUUUAUUCUCUUGUGUAACGCGCUGUCAAGUGUCAACUGUGAUCACCGCUGGUGUGCACUUGUAUGUUCCCUUUCUUUUCCUUUCUUUUUGUGAAGUUUUAAAGUCUAUACUCCUUCACAUAUCAUAUUUCAAUAAAUCAAUUAAUUAUUUUAUGACUCGCUGAAUUCAUAAAAAAAUACUAUUCAAUAUUUAUACAUCUAAAUAAUUUUACUAUAAAAAGACAUGGCAUGUUGACUUAAUUAUUCCGCCACGAGUUACAUAAGGCCUUGUUUAGUUCACCCCGAAAUCCAAAAAAUUUUCAAGAUUCCCUGUCACAUCGAAUCUUACGGCGCAUGCAUAAAGUAUUAAAUAUAGACGAAAACAAAAACUAAUCACACAAUUUGACUGUAAAUCACAAGACGAAUCAUUUGAUCCUAAUUAGUAUAUGAUUGGAUAAGAUUUACCACAAACAAACGAAAGUGCUACAGUGCCGAAAUCCGAAAUUUUUUUAAACUAAACAAGGCCUAAGUUAUUUUGAACAAGACGGUGUCUAAAGACAUGAAUAGAUAUAUGUAUCGUUGGGGUUAAACACUCUAAAAUGUACUGUGAGGGCAGUCUUAACGCACUCUCUCUGUCCCUGAAAACUUUAAUUUUUAGAGUUGUCUUAAGUUAAAUUUUUUAAACUUUGGUCAAAUUUUAAAAAAUGCUAAAAUUUAUAGUACCAAAUUAGUACCAUUAGAUUUAUUAUAGAUAUUUUUAUAAAAUACUCAUUUUAUGUCAUGGAUAUUGAUAUUCUUUUCUAUAAAAUUGGUCAAACUUAAAAAAAAAAUUUGACUGACACGAAUUUUAGAAAUUGAAGUUUUUAGGGACAGAGGGAGUAGAUUUCACGGGGGUUUAUGCACAUUAAUAGGAUGCCAUAUGAGCAGAAAUUUGAGUUUUUGUAUGUAUUAAAUAGGAGAGAGAAGGAAAACAUUUGCUAGAGACGAGAUGAGCGAGCGUUAUUUCUAAAACCGAAUGAACCUGGCUGCGAGCCUUUCUUCGUUUCAUCCUGUGCGCGAAGAGCUAAUCAUGGACAUAGCCACCGCUACCACAGGGGAUGGCGGUGUGGGAGGCCUCUACCGAAGGGGAAGGCGGGCUCUGCCAACCGCACGCACAGAGAUCCGCCACGCACGGCUCCGAGGGGAUGGCGGGCAUGAGAUCCCCUGCUCCUCCUUGCCCUCACAGUCUCUCUGCUGCUCGUGGCGGCCGUCUAGCGAGGCAUGGUCAAGGGGCAUGACAACGGUGGUCAUCUCUGCAAUUGGGUAUGGGUACAUGAUACUAGUGUGGGCAUCCCACGGCGACAACUAGUGCGCGGCUGCGCAGGCUCCUCACCGUCUCGCCGCACGCGCCGCUGACCACCGCUCUCGUCCGUAGCCUGCGCGAUGUCGAUCUAGUGUUCGCCGCCGAAGUCAUCGCUAGAGAUAUGCCGACAUGGCUGACAGUACAAUGGCAUGGCUCAUUUUUUUAACUGAGAAGCUCCGUGUCGUGUCUCCUAGGUGACUCGGGGCGACACGCCACGCCGCCACUCGCCCAGCCGCCGCAGGCCAACUUUGGCAGUCGUCGUCGCGGCUCCGACUAGCGAUGGCAGUGGCCCACCGCGGUGCCCCAAUUUUGCCUGGAUCUACGGACUCGCAGAAAAUGGAUAAAAACCCUACCUGGUUCAUUUGGGCUGACGGCGGUGGACAGGCUUGUGUCACCAACCUUCUUGAAGGCAUCGUUGAAGUUUCGGUCCAUCGAGGGAAGGCUGAGGAUGAAAGUCCUGCUCGUAGGUUCUCCAACAUUGAUUGGCGUCUGGGGCGUCAAUUUCCUUCAUGAAGGCAUCGCUAGAGCACCAUGGCAAAAGAAGAAAAUCUGCCCAUCGCUCUUUCCCAUGUGGUAACCCCUGGUCGUAGUGCUGUGCCUAAUUGUACUUCAUGCUUCUCCUCACUUGGUAUGUCCAAUUGUUGCUUGUUGUAGCUGUAGUCGUCGCUUAGGCCCCUUCUCAUGCAGAUGCUUUGCUACUGGGAGUGUGUUGGCCCCGCUCGCGGAUGUUUUUGCCGUGUGGAUGGUAUUAUUGCUUGUGCGGAUGCUUUGCCGCCGGUGUUGUAGAGGAUGUUGUCGUGGAGGUUGUGCUGCCAUCGACGUGUGCCUCCCAUGGAGGUCCCCCUCGCUCGUGGUCUUGAGGGCCACCUACCCUUAGUGACUCGGAGGAGUGCAUGGCGCUUGCCGCAUUGUUGGUCAUAGCCGUUUCGGUGGAUGCUUUGCCGCCGAGGUGUUCUGGUGGAUGUUUUGUCGCCAAGGUUGAUGUGGUUGCUUCGACGAAUGCUUUGCUGUCUAGAGUUCUUGCGGAUGCAUUGCCGUUGUUUUAUUUACGGAUCCCACCACCGACUGCUACCAAUGUGUUGAGUUUUUCUAUAUUAGGCUCGGUUGUUGGGGUUAAUCAUGUAGCUUGACCCCUCUCUCGUGCUUCUGAGCCCAUUUUUCUUCUGUCACGUGUGUUAGUUUUUAGUGAUGUAUGUGGGGUGGUUUGCUUAGGCUUACCAAGGUUCACCCACUGUAAUGUCUUUGCUCUUCUCUUUAAUGAAAAACGUGUUUUGCACAAUCUCGAAAAAUGACCUAACUCUUAUCGGCUGUGUCUAAGCCGUUGCUGCAGCUCCUAGGUGGGCAUGACAUGGUCCGAUGCGUGAGUCGAGUCGUGCCAGAAUGAACUAAAGCAUGGAUACAUGCUGAGCAUGUGUUAUGUGGGCCAUUCACAUAGCGUAUCGAGAUAUGUGUCAUUCAGAACAGUAGGAUUUGACAUUGGGUAGUAUGUAUAGCACGAAUCUCAAAACAAUUUUGAAUAGUGCAGAUAGGGCAUACUGAGCAUGUACAUACUAUAUUGUGAUACGUUAUUGACCAUGAACCCCUCAGGUCAUGUCUUAGGCCUUGUUUAGAUCCAAUUUUUUUUGGUUUUUGACAGUGUAGCAUUUUCGUUUUUAUUUGACAAAUAUUGUCUAAUCAUAGAGUAACUAGGCUUAAAAGAUUUAGCUCAUGAUUUACAGGCAAACUAUGUAAUUAGUUUUUGUUUUCAUCUAUAUUUAAUGCUUCAUACAUGUGCCGCAAGAUUCGAUGUGACGGAGAACCUUAAAAAAAUUUUGGUUUUUGGGUGAACUAACCAAAUGCCUUAGACUGCGUUCGGUUGCCAUAAUUUUGCCCCUGGAACUAUUCCAGCUUAUCUAAACUAUGUAAAUUAGUGAAGCAAAUCCAUCUGGAAUCAUUCCAGUGACCCAAACCGGAUCAACCGAACGAGCCCUUAGUCGGGCCUGGGCCGUGCUGGGGAUGAUGACCUAUUUGGCUCCCGUGGCAUCGCUAUCCACGUGUUUCCACGCGUCACCCACUCCCGUUCAAAUAAAUAUUUUGCCGUGCUUACGCUGCAUUAUAUAGCCUGUUAAAGGAUCCACCCCACUCCAUCAGUUUCGCCACAAACAGGAACCGGACAGGAUCGGAGUUGCACAGCCAUGCCGACCGGCGGAGGAGGCAACCGCGACGACGUCGCGCCCAUGCACGUCGUGAUGCUCCCGUGGCUCGCCUUCGGACACAUCGUCCCGUUCGCGCAGCUGGCGCGGAGGCUGCUGGCCUCCUCCUCCUCUGUCCGCGUCACAUUCCUCACAGCCGCCGGGAACGUCCCGCGCGUCGAGGCCAUGCUGUCCUCCUCGGCGUCGUCCGCCGGCGGGGUGGCCGUCUUGCCGCUGCGCCUGCCUCGCGUGCCGGGGCUUCCCGAGGACGCCGCCAGCACGGCCGACCUCUCGCCCGACGGCGCCGAGCUGCUCAAGGUCGCGCUGGACGCCGCCCGGCCCCAGGUCGCCGCGCUGCUGGCCGAGCUCCGCCCGGACGCCGUGCUGCUCGACUUCGCCACCCCGUGGGCCUCCCACGACGCCGCGGCGCUGGGCGUCAAGUCGUUCUAUUUCAGCGCCUUCUCCGCCGUCGCGCUCGCAUACCUCGCCGUCCCCGCGCGCCGCCUCGACGGGCCCGGGGCGUCGGCGCGCGACCUCAUGUCCGCCCCCGCUGGCUUUCCCGGAUCCUCCCAUCUCGCCACCGCCGGCGUCCCGGCGUACCAAGCCGCCGACUUCACCUACGUCUUCACCAGCUUCGGCGGCCAGCCCUGCGCCUACGACCGGUCGGUGGCCAGCACUCGGGCUUGCGACGGCGUCGUGCUCAAGACCUGCGCGGAGAUGGAGGGCGUCUACAUAGACUACUACGCCGCCCAGUUCCGGAAGCCCGUGCUGGUGGCGGGGCCGCUGGUGCCGGAGCCGCCGCGGGGGGACCUGGACGAGCGCUGGGCCACCUGGCUGUCGGCGUUCCCGGACGACGGCGCCGUCGUCUUCGCGUCGUUCGGCAGCGAGACGUUCCUGCCGCCCGCCGCGGCGACGGAGCUCCUCCUGGGGCUCGAGGCCACCGGCCGCCCGUUCCUCGCCGUGCUCAACUCCCCGGACGGCGCGGCGGCAGUCGUCCCGCCGCCGGGGUUCACGGAGAGGGUGUCAGGGAGAGGACUGGUGCACACCGGGUGGGUGCAGCAGCAGCACAUCCUGCGCCACCGGAGCGUGGGGUGCUACGUCACCCACGCCGGGUUCAGCUCCGUCGUGGAGGGGCUCGUCGCCGGCUGCCGCCUCGUGCUGCUGCCCAUGAAGGGCGACCAGUACCUUAACGCGGCGCUGUUCGCGCGCGAGCUCCGCGUGGGCGUCGAGGUGGCGCGCCGCGACGAGGACGGCUGGUUCGGGCGCCAGGACGUGUGCGACGCUGUCGCGGCGGCGGUGGCGGACGGAGGGGAAGGGGACGCUAGGAAGUGGGC
This 5251-nucleotide long non-coding RNA is filed under the name Sorghum bicolor (sorghum). Its description in RNAcentral is "long non-coding RNA (SBIC_LNC007564)". Lineage: Eukaryota; Viridiplantae; Streptophyta; Magnoliopsida; Poales; Poaceae. The record is from RNAcentral.